This 96-nucleotide transfer RNA is filed under the name Actinobacteria bacterium RBG_16_67_15. RNAcentral describes it as "tRNA-Ser". It matches the Rfam family "tRNA". Rfam says of the family: Transfer RNA (tRNA) molecules are approximately 80 nucleotides in length. Their secondary structure includes four short double-helical elements and three loops (D, anti-codon, and T loops). The record is from RNAcentral. Lineage: Bacteria; Bacillati; Actinomycetota.
GGAGAGGUGGCCGAGCAUGGUCGAAGGCGCUCGCCUGCUAAGCGAGUAAGGGGUUGUAAAGCCCCUUCGAGGGUUCAAAUCCCUCCCUCUCCGCCG